AGUCGUACGAGACGAUUGAAAGCUUGCUUUUGAAAGUCGAGUGGCAAACGGGUGAGUAACGCGUAGACAACCUGCCGUAAAGAUGGGGACAACAGUUCGAAAGGACUGCUAAUACCGAAUGUUGUAGAGUUUCCGCAUGGGGAUCCUACUAAAGGUGGCCUCUACUUGUAAGCUAUCGCUUUACGAUGGGUCUGCGUCUGAUUAGCUAGUUGGUGGGGUAACGGCCUACCAGGGCGACGAUCAGUAGCCGGUCUGAGAGGAUGAACGGCCACAUUGGAACUGAGACACGGUCCAGACUCCUACGGGAGGCAGCAGUGGGGAAUCUUCCGCAAUGGGCGCAAGCCUGACGGAGCAACGCCGCGUGAGUGAAGAAGGGUUUCGACUCGUAAAGCUCUGUUGUCGGGGACGAAUGUGGAGAUGGUGAAUAACCAUUUCCAAUGACGGUACCUGACGAGGAAGCCACGGCUAACUACGUGCCAGCAGCCGCGGUAAUACGUAGGUGGCGAGCGUUGUCCGGAAUUAUUGGGCGUAAAGGGAGCGCAGGCGGGAAGGUAAGUCUAUCUUAAAAGUGCGGGGCUCAACCCCGUGAGGGGAUGGAAACUAUCUUUCUUGAGUGCAGGAGAGGAAAGCGGAAUUCCUAGUGUAGCGGUGAAAUGCGUAGAUAUUAGGAGGAACACCAGUGGCGAAGGCGGCUUUCUGGACUGUAACUGACGCUGAGGCUCGAAAGCGUGGGGAGCGAACAGGAUUAGAUACCCUGGUAGUCCACGCCGUAAACGAUGAAUGCUAGGUGUAGGAGGUAUCGACCC
Molecule: ribosomal RNA, 806 nt
Filed under: uncultured bacterium
Lineage: Bacteria
Description: bacterial SSU rRNA
Rfam family: Bacterial small subunit ribosomal RNA
Source: RNAcentral